AUACUUACCUCGUGUCGGGCCCUCCGGCGCUCAGAGAGGCUGGGGCCCCGUGCCGAGGCUUCCCAUUGCACUGCGGGUGGCUGAAGUGCGCUACUACCCAAACUGGGAUAGAUAGGGCACGUAAUUUUUGGUAGUGGUGCUUGGCGUACGCGCAAGCACUUG
Small nuclear RNA from Dermacentor andersoni, 162 nucleotides. RefSeq annotates it as U1 spliceosomal RNA. NCBI's taxonomy places the organism in Eukaryota, Metazoa, Arthropoda, Arachnida, Ixodida, Ixodidae. The record is from RefSeq and is a predicted model, not a curated record.